GAUGAAGAACGUAGCGAAAUGCGAUAAGUAAUGUGAAUUGCAGAAUUCAGUGAAUCAUCGAAUCUUUGAACGCACAUUGCGCCCGCCAGUAUUCUGGCGGGCAUGCCUGUUCGAGCGUCAUUACAACCCUCAGGCCCCCGGGCCUGGCGUUGGGGAUCGGCGGAAGCCCCCUGUGGGCACACGCCGUCCCUCAAAUACAGUGGCGGUCCCGCCGCAGCUUCCAUUGCGUAGUAGCUAACACCUCGCAACUGGAGAGCGGCGCGGACAUGCCGUAAAACACCCAACUUCUGAAUGUUGACCUCGAAUCAGGUAGGAAUACCCGCUGAACUUAAGCAUAUCAAUAAGCGGAGGA
Molecule: unclassified non-coding RNA, 352 nt
Filed under: soil metagenome
Description: partial contains 5.8S ribosomal RNA, internal transcribed spacer 2, and large subunit ribosomal RNA
Rfam family: 5.8S ribosomal RNA (bases 1-120)
Source: RNAcentral